UGGGGAAUAUUGCGCAAUGGGGGAAACCCUGACGCAGCGACGCCGCGUGUGGGAUGAAGGUCUUCGGAUUGUAAACCACUGUCGCGAGGGACGAAGCUCUGACGGUACCUCGAAAGGAAGCACCGGCUAACUCUGUGCCAGCAGCCGCGGUAAUACAGAGGGUGCGAGCGUUGUCCGGAAUCACUGGGCGUAAAGGGCGCGUAGGCGGCCCGGUAAGUAGGGGGUGAAAUCUCAUGGCUCAACUGUGAGGCUGCCUUCUAGACUGCCAGGCUUGAGCACAGUAGAGGCGAGUGGAAUUCCCGGUGUAGCGGUGGAAUGCGUAGAGAUCGGGAAGACAUCGGUGGCGAAGGCGGCUCGCUGGGCUGUUGCUGACGCUGAGGCGCGAAAGCGUGGGGAGCAAACAGGAUUAGAUACCCCUGUAGUCCCUGAGCGGGCUGGCAAGGCGCAU
This 448-nucleotide ribosomal RNA is filed under the name uncultured bacterium. RNAcentral describes it as "bacterial SSU rRNA". It matches the Rfam family "Bacterial small subunit ribosomal RNA", at positions 355 to 825 of the family's 1533-position model. The record is from RNAcentral.